This 1178-nucleotide ribosomal RNA is filed under the name uncultured Persicirhabdus sp. RNAcentral's name for it is "bacterial SSU rRNA". It matches the Rfam family "Bacterial small subunit ribosomal RNA", at positions 34 to 1161 of the family's 1533-position model. The record is from RNAcentral. Lineage: Bacteria; Pseudomonadati; Verrucomicrobiota; Verrucomicrobiia; Verrucomicrobiales; Verrucomicrobiaceae.
CAGGUGGCGGGGUGGGAAAGACUGCAAGUCGAACGAAGGAUUUAAAUAGCUUGCUAAUUAAAUUCUUAGUGGCGGACGGGUUAGUAACACGUGAGAUACCUACCCUUUAGACAGGAAUAGCCCAUGGAAACGUGGAUUAAUGCCUGAUAGUCUCUACGGAGUAAAGGAUGCCUUCGGGUGUCGCUAAAGGAUGGGCUCGCGGCCUAUCAGCUUGUUGGUGAGGUAAAAGCUCACCAAGGCGACGACGGGUAGCUGGUCUGAGAGGACGAUCAGCAACACUGGAACUGAGACACGGUCCAGACACCUACGGGUGGCAGCAGUCGAGAACCAUUCACAAUGGAGGCAACUCUGAUGGUGCAACGCCGCGUGGAGGAUGACGGUCCUAGGAUUGUAAACUCCUGUCAUUGGGGAGUAAGACUUAUGCGUUAAGAGCGUGUAAGUUUGAUAGUACCCAAAGAGGAAGGGACGGCUAACUUCGUGCCAGCAGCCGCGGUAAUACGAAGGUCCCAAGCGUUGUUCGGAAUCACUGGGCGUAAAGCGUGUGUAGGCUGCGCGGAAAGUCAAAUGUGAAAGCCCGGGGCUCAACCCCGGAACUGCAUUCGAUACUCCCGCGCUAGAGUGAUGGAGAGGUAAGUGGAAUUCUCGGUGUAGCAUUGAAAUGCGUAGAUAUCGAGAGGAACAUCAAUGGCGAAGGCAACUUACUGGACAUUUACUGACGCUCAGACACGAAGGCCAGGGGAGCAAAAGGGAUUAGAUACCCCUGUAGUCCUGGCAGUAAACGGUGCUCGCUUGGUGUGGGAGGAUUCGACCCCUUCUGUGCCGGAGCUAACGCGUUAAGCGAGCCGCCUGAGAAGUACGGUCGCAAGACUAAAACUCAAGAAAUUGACUGGGGACCCGCACAAGCCGGUGGAGUAUGUGGCUUAAUUCGAUGCAACGUCGAAGGAUCUUUACCUAGGCUUGACAUGCUUGAUCGUUUCCCUCCCGAAAAGGAGAGUCAUUUUCCGAUGGACAAUGCAACAAGGUGCUGCAUGCCGGUCGAUCAGCUCGUGUCGUGAGAUGUAUGUUAAGUCCAGCUAACUGAGUCGCAAUCCCCAUGGUGAAACUGAUUGGCAUGCGUCAGUAAAGGCAGGGAAACUCUGUUCAGACUGCCCUAGAAUUCACCUGCUAGGUAACGCUUC